This 18-nucleotide non-coding RNA is filed under the name Arabidopsis thaliana (thale cress). Lineage: Eukaryota; Viridiplantae; Streptophyta; Magnoliopsida; Brassicales; Brassicaceae. The record is from RNAcentral.
GGAAUUGUGGUGAUUCGC